GACGAACCGUACGAACGUUAUUCGGAAUUACUGGGCUUAAAGGGUGCGUAGGCGGCGCAGUAAGUUGGGUGUGAAAUCCCUCGGCUUAACCGAGGAAUUGCGCCCAAAACUACUGUGCUCGAGGGAGAUAGAGGUGAGCGGAACUUAGGGUGGAGCGGUGAAAUGCGUUGACAUCCUAAGGAACACCGGUGGCGAAAGCGGCUCACUGGAUCUCUUCUGACGCUGAGGCACGAAAGCUAGGGUAGCAAACGGG
RNAcentral lists this ribosomal RNA (253 nucleotides) under uncultured bacterium. RNAcentral's name for it is "partial 16S ribosomal RNA". It matches the Rfam family "Bacterial small subunit ribosomal RNA", at positions 524 to 776 of the family's 1533-position model. The record is from RNAcentral.